Molecule: ribosomal RNA, 1453 nt
Filed under: uncultured organism
Description: 16S ribosomal RNA
Rfam family: Bacterial small subunit ribosomal RNA
Source: RNAcentral
GAACGCUGGCGGCAGGCCUAACACAUGCAAGUCGAACGGUAACAGGAAUCAGCUUGCUGAUUCGCUGACGAGUGGCGGACGGGUGAGUAAUGUCUGGGAGACUGCCUGAUGGAGGGGGAUAACUACUGGAAACGGUAGCUAAUACCGCAUAACGUCGCAAGACCAAAGAGGGGGACCUUCGGGCCUCUUGCCAUCGGAUGUGCCCAGAUGGGAUUAGCUAGUAGGUGGGGUAAAGGCUCACCUAGGCGACGAUCCCUAGCUGGUCUGAGAGGAUGACCAGCCACACUGGAACUGAGACACGGUCCAGACUCCUACGGGAGGCAGCAGUGGGGAAUAUUGCACAAUGGGCGCAAGCCUGAUGCAGCCAUGCCGCGUGUAUGAAGAAGGCCUUCGGGUUGUAAAGUACUUUCAGCGGGGAGGAAGGGAGUAAAGUUAAUACCUUUGCUCAUUGACGUUACCCGCAGAAGAAGCACCGGCUAACUCCGUGCCAGCAGCCGCGGUAAUACGGAGGGUGCAAGCGUUAAUCGGAAUUACUGGGCGUAAAGCGCACGCAGGCGGUUUGUUAAGUCAGAUGUGAAAUCCCCGGGCUCAACCUGGGAACUGCAUCUGAUACUGGCAAGCUUGAGUCUCGUAGAGGGGGGUAGAAUUCCAGGUGUAGCGGUGAAAUGCGUAGAGAUCUGGAGGAAUACCGGUGGCGAAGGCGGCCCCCUGGACGAAGACUGACGCUCAGGUGCGAAAGCGUGGGGAGCAAACAGGAUUAGAUACCCUGGUAGUCCACGCCGUAAACGAUGUCGACUUGGAGGUUGUGCCCUUGAGGCGUGGCUUCCGGAGCUAACGCGUUAAGUCGACCGCCUGGGGAGUACGGCCGCAAGGUUAAAACUCAAAUGAAUUGACGGGGGCCCGCACAAGCGGUGGGGCAUGUGGUUUAAUUCGAUGCAACGCGAAGAACCUUACCUGGUCUUGACAUCCACGGAAGUUUUCAGAGAUGAGAAUGUGCCUUCGGGAACCGUGAGACAGGUGCUGCAUGGCUGUCGUCAGCUCGUGUUGUGAAAUGUUGGGUUAAGUCCCGCAACGAGCGCAACCCUUAUCCUUUGUUGCCAGCGGUCCGGCCGGGAACUCAAAGGAGACUGCCAGUGAUAAACUGGAGGAAGGUGGGGAUGACGUCAAGUCAUCAUGGCCCUUACGACCAGGGCUACACACGUGCUACAAUGGCGCAUACAAAGAGAAGCGACCUCGCGAGAGCAAGCGGACCUCAUAAAGUGCGUCGUAGUCCGGAUUGGAGUCUGCAACUCGACUCCAUGAAGUCGGAAUCGCUAGUAAUCGUGGAUCAGAAUGCCACGGUGAAUACGUUCCCGGGCCUUGUACACACCGCCCGUCACACCAUGGGAGUGGGUUGCAAAAGAAGUAGGUAGCUUAACCUUCGGGAGGGCGCUUACCACUUUGUGAUUCAUGA